RNAcentral lists this ribosomal RNA (407 nucleotides) under uncultured bacterium. RNAcentral describes it as "partial 16S ribosomal RNA". It matches the Rfam family "Bacterial small subunit ribosomal RNA", at positions 30 to 526 of the family's 1533-position model. The record is from RNAcentral.
AUUGAACGCUGGCGGCAGGCCUAACACAUGCAAGUCGAGCGGAGCGGCGGACGGGUGAGUAAUGCCUAGGAAUCUGCCUGGUAGUGGGGGAUAACGUCCGGAAACGGGCGCUAAUACCGCAUACUAUCAGAUGAGCCUAGGUCGGAUUAGCUAGUUGGUGGGGUAAAGGCCUACCAAGGCGACGAUCCGUAACUGGUCUGAGAGGAUGAUCAGUCACACUGGAACUGAGAAACGUGCGAGACUCCUACGGUAGGCAGCAUGGGGGAAUAUUGGACAAUGGGCGAAAGCCUGAUGCAGCGACGCCGCGUGGGGGAUGAAGGCUUUCGGGUUGUAAACCUCUUUCGAUAUCGAACGGGUAGGUGGAGAAGAAGCGCCGGCUAACUACGUGCCAGCAGCCGCGGUAAUUC